Molecule: unclassified non-coding RNA, 208 nt
Filed under: root metagenome
Description: partial contains small subunit ribosomal RNA, internal transcribed spacer 1, and 5.8S ribosomal RNA
Source: RNAcentral
UCUCCGUUGGUGAACCAGCGGAGGGAUCAUUACCGAGUUUACAACUCCCAAACCCCUGUGAACAUACCUUAAUGUUGCCUCGGCGGAUCAGCCCGCGCCCCGUAAAACGGGACGGCCCGCCAGAGGACCCAAACUCUGUUUUUAGUGUAACUUCUGAGUAAAACAAACAAAUAAAUCAAAACUUUCAACAACGGAUCUCUUGGUUCUG